UAAUUAUGUUGCUGUGUUUUGUGCAGGUGAAGGGAUGCACAAUCAAGAACAACAAUGCUGAGUAUUGAAGAACACGAACUACACACAAGGUGUUUGAUAAAAUGUCUCAAACACUUGUUCUCCAGAAGGAUCAAAGAUAGUGCAUUUAUGAUCCUUAAACUGAAGAGAAUAGUUUUUCUCCAUCAUUUGUCCAACACUCAACAAAUUUUGACUGAUUUCAGGUAUGAAUAACACAUCAGGAAUGAUUUUGAUACCUGAACUUGUUUGAACAUUUACUGACCCUCUGCCUUUGACCUCCAAAAAUUCUCCAUUGCCAACCUUUACUCUGGAUUUGUAAGAUUCAUCAAGGGUUUUGAACAUUCCAGCAUCAUUGCACAAAUGGUGUGUGCAUCCACUGUCGAUAAGCCAAGUAUCAGCUGAAUCAUUUGUUGAGAAACAAGUGACAGCAAAGAAUUGCUCCUCCUGUGUAUCAACUUCAUCCGCAAGUGAGUGCAGGGAGGAAACUUCUUCUGUUUUGAACCUUCACUGGUGCUGCCCCCUUCAUUUUUGCCUUUACUUCUCAGAUUAAGCAACUUCUUUCCUUUUCCAGCUUGUUGUUUUUGCACAUAAAAGGCUCCUUCAGUCAAUCUGUCUUGCCUGAUUGUUCUUCGUUGCUCCUGUGCUUGAAGAGCACUCAUUAGUUCACCUAAUGAGAUUUUACUGAGGUCCUUUGAUUCUUCCAGAGAGGAGAUUUUGGAUUCAAACCUCUCAGGAAGAGUCACAAGAACCUUCUCCACAAUCCUGCUGUCAGGAAAGUCUUCUCCAAGUAAUCUGAUGUUGUUGAUAAUUAGUGAAAUUCUAUCAGAAUACUUGGAGAUUGUUUCAUCUUCUUGCAUGUUAAGUGCCUCAAAAUCUCUCUUCAAAUUCAGCACUUGCAUUUGCCUUGUUCUGUCACUGCCUUGGUAUUCUUCUUUUAGUUUGUUCCAAGCCUCUUUGGCUGAAUUGCAUGCCAUAAUUCUGUAGAAAAUGCUUUCUGCCACAGAAUUCUGGAUGAUUGAUUUUGCCUUGGAUUUCUUUGCCUUUUCCUCACUGCUGAACUUGAUUUGAGCCAUAGUGGGAUUUGUUGGUAAGGGAGCUACUGGUUUGUCUUCGGAAACAAUUUCCCAAAGAUCAUAAGCUUCAAGAAAAGCUUGCAUCUUCACUGACCAAAUGUGAUAGUUUUCGCCAGUGAAUAUAACGGGGGAGU
This is a long non-coding RNA of Populus trichocarpa (black cottonwood), 1225 nucleotides long. RefSeq lists it as uncharacterized. The record is from RefSeq and is a predicted model, not a curated record. NCBI's taxonomy places the organism in Eukaryota, Viridiplantae, Streptophyta, Magnoliopsida, Malpighiales, Salicaceae. The transcript has 3 exons.